AUUGAACGCUGGCGGCAGGCCUAACACAUGCAAGUCGAGCGGAUGAAGGGAGCUUGCUCCUGGAUUCAGCGGCGGACGGGUGAGUAAUGCCUAGGAAUCUGCCUGGUAGUGGGGGAUAACGUCCGGAAACGGGCGCUAAUACCGCAUACGUCCUGAGGGAGAAAGUGGGGGAUCUUCGGACCUCACGCUAUCAGAUGAGCCUAGGUCGGAUUAGCUAGUUGGUGGGGUAAAGGCCUACCAAGGCGACGAUCCGUAACUGGUCUGAGAGGAUGAUCAGUCACACUGGAACUGAGACACGGUCCAGACUCCUACGGGAGGCAGCGGUGGGGAAUAUUGGACGAUGGGCGAAAGCCUGAUCCAGCCAUGCCGCGUGUGUGAAGAAGGUCUUCGGAUGGUAAAGCACUUUAAGUGGGGAGGAAGGGCAGUAAGUUAAUACCUUGCUGUUUUGACGUUACCAACAGAAUAAGCACCGGCUAACUUCGUG
Molecule: ribosomal RNA, 484 nt
Filed under: uncultured bacterium
Lineage: Bacteria
Description: partial 16S ribosomal RNA
Rfam family: Bacterial small subunit ribosomal RNA
Source: RNAcentral